Long non-coding RNA from Erpetoichthys calabaricus (reedfish), 750 nucleotides. RefSeq lists it as uncharacterized. The record is from RefSeq and is a predicted model, not a curated record. NCBI's taxonomy places the organism in Eukaryota, Metazoa, Chordata, Cladistia, Polypteriformes, Polypteridae. The transcript is spliced from 5 exons.
GCGUCUCUGUUAAUAUUGUCGUUGUAAAGAUGCACCACAUUUCCUGGUGCAGAAAUUAUCAGUGAUGUUCUGCCUAAAGAUACCAUGUCGCUUCUUCAGAAUGGUUUCUUGUGACGGCAUAGCAAGAUCCUAACAACGUUUAUCGUGAAGCUGAAGUCAUCAGAGUCUCCUCUAGCCGUAAUGGCUGACUGACCACUGGCCUUAAGAAGAAUAACAGCGGGAACACAGAUUUUAGGGGACUGGAUCAACAAUGGUGGCCACCCUGCUUCAUUUUUCCUGGGCUUUUAUCAUCUUGUGUUGUCUAGAGACAAACAUCGUUUACUCCGGGAUUCGUCUACCUCAAGACCCAGUAUCUAUGGUCCCAGGUCAGAAUUUAACUCUGGAAGUGAACUUUGAACCUGACAGCAGGGUUUCUAGGCACAGCAUUUCUUGGCUGUUGUACAGAGAGAAGAGCCAAUCCCUGAAAAUUGUGCAAUAUAUAUGGAUUCAAGAUUUGAUUCAUGUGUACUCAUCUUUUGUCAGCCGCGUUAAUUUCAGCAGAGACACUGGAUCUCUGACACUUUUCAACUUCAGCGAAACAGAUGUAGGGACAUAUGGAGCCAUAGUUACCUUUGAGGAUGGGACCGAAAGUGGAGCUAAUGCUACAGUUGGAAUUGACAUGACAUCAUGGAGAACUACAGUAAUGGAUAAGGACAUGAAAACCCUGGUGUCUAACUACAAACCAGAAGGUACGUAAAUAAUUUAGAAGGC